Molecule: ribosomal RNA, 403 nt
Filed under: uncultured bacterium
Lineage: Bacteria
Description: bacterial SSU rRNA
Rfam family: Bacterial small subunit ribosomal RNA
Source: RNAcentral
GGGGAAUAUUGCGCAAUGGGGGAAACCCUGACGCAGCAACGCCGCGUGAAGGAAGAAGGUCUUCGGAUCGUAAACUUUUGUCAUUUGGGACGAAGGAAGUGACGGUACCAAAUGAGGAAGCCACGGCUAACUACGUGCCAGCAGCCGCGGUAAUACGUAGGUGGCGAGCGUUGUCCGGAAUUACUGGGUGUAAAGGGCGCGUAGGCGGGUAAGCAAGUCAGAUGUGAAAUACCGGGGCUCAACCCCGGGGCUGCAUUUGAAACUGUUUAUCUUGAGUGCAGGAGAGGGAAGCGGAAUUCCUAGUGUAGCGGUGAAAUGCGUAGAUAUUAGGAGGAACACCGGUGGCGAAGGCGGCUUUCUGGACUGUAACUGACGCUGAGGCGCGAAAGCGUGGGGAGCAAAC